RNAcentral lists this ribosomal RNA (468 nucleotides) under uncultured bacterium. Its description in RNAcentral is "partial 16S ribosomal RNA". It matches the Rfam family "Bacterial small subunit ribosomal RNA", at positions 28 to 507 of the family's 1533-position model. The record is from RNAcentral.
GACGAACGCUGGCGGCGUGCUUAACACAUGCAAGUCGAACGGAAAGGCCCUGCUUUUGUGGGGUGCUCGAGUGGCGAACGGGUGAGUAACACGUGAGUUACCUGCCCUUGACUUUGGGAUAACUUCAGGCAACUGGGGCUAAUACCGGAUAGGAGCUCCUGCUGCAUGGUGGGGGUUGGAAAGUUUCGGCGGUUGGGGAUGGAAUCGCGGCGUAUGGGAUUGGUGGUGGGGUGGUGGCAUACCAAGGCUUGGAGGGGUAGCAGACCUGGGAGGGUAGGCGGACACGCCAGACCGGGAAUGAGACCCAGCCUAGAAUCCGACGGGAGGGAGCAGUGGGGAAUCUUAGACGAGGGGGGAAACCCUGAUCAAGCCAUGCCGGGUGAGCGGUGAAGGCCGUAGGGUUGUAAAGCUCUUUGAGCUGGGAAGAUAAUGACGGUACCAGCAGAAGAAGCCCCGGCUAACUCCGUG